ACACAGUCUAUCCUUGAAAAUGACGCACGUGGUACGUCAAAAUAAGUCGGAGAACUCAGGACUAUUUUGUGACAAAGAUCUUGACAAAUCUCCAGUUAUUCAGUAGACCUAUCCCAUUAUUAUUAGGAAAAUGUUUUAUCUGAAAGAGCUCUCAGCUUUGAAUCAUCAUUGGCGGAAGUAGUACACUAUCUACAAGUUUGGCCAACAGGAAGCUUUCUAAGACUCCUAAACAUUUUCUUACCAAGGCAGUGAUUCAAUUGGCAGCCAGUACAUGCCAAAAUGUAGGUGGAAGAUUAGUUUUUAUAAUAAAUUUGAUUUGUCAAAAAGUGAAGUUUAAUCUGUAUGACUUUUUAAAACUACAUUCACGACAACACACUUGAAGUUUGUGGCAUGUGCAUUCAUCAGUUUUAAUCUGUAAUUCACAUUCAUCAGUACAGAUUUGUUUUCAACAUUUUCUGGAAAGGAUUAAAGUCUGUUUAUUUUUAUUAUUAUGGUUUCAACACCUUUUUAUGGUUGAAAUAAUUGUAUACACUACUCUUUUUGGAGAAACCAUAAGGGACCAAAUAAAGAAUGUAAUGUUAUAUAUAUACAAGCCUAAUACUAA
This is a long non-coding RNA of Limulus polyphemus (Atlantic horseshoe crab), 604 nucleotides long. RefSeq lists it as uncharacterized. The record is from RefSeq and is a predicted model, not a curated record. NCBI's taxonomy places the organism in Eukaryota, Metazoa, Arthropoda, Merostomata, Xiphosura, Limulidae. The transcript is spliced from 3 exons.